RNAcentral lists this long non-coding RNA (1063 nucleotides) under Numida meleagris (helmeted guineafowl). Its description in RNAcentral is "lncRNA (ENSNMEG00000000677.1)". Lineage: Eukaryota; Metazoa; Chordata; Aves; Galliformes; Numididae. The record is from RNAcentral.
UCGGGGUUGGGUUCAGGGUCGGGAUUUGGGUUUGGGAUUUGGGUUCGGGGCCGGGAUUUGGGGUGGGAUUUGGGAUUUGGGUUCAGGGCUGGGUUUGGGGUCAGGAUUUGGGAUUUGGGUUUGGGGCUGGGAUUUGGGAUUUGGGUUCGGGGUCGGGAUUUGGGAUUUGGGUUUGGGAUUUGGGUUCGUAGGCCGGGAUUUGGGGUCAGGAUUUGGGAUUUGGGUUUGGGGCUGGGAUUUGGGGUGGGAUUUGGGAUUUGGGUUCGGGGCUGGGCUUUGGGAUUUGGGUUCGGGGUCGGGAUUUGGGAUUUGGGGUUGGGAUUUGGGUUCGGGGUUGGGAUUUGGGAUUUGGUUUCGGGGUUGGGAUUUGGGUCGGGAUUUGGGAUUUGGGUUUGGGGUUGGGAUUUGGGGUUUGGGUUUGGGGUUGGGAUUUGGGAUUUGGGUUUGGGGUUUGGAUUUGGGAUUUGGGUUUGGGGUCGGGUUUUGGGAUUUGGGUUUGGGGUCGGGAUUUGGGAUUUGGGUUUGGGGUCGGGAUUUGGGAUUUGGGGUGGGAUUUGGGAUUUGGGUUUUGGGAUUUGGGUUCGGGGUUGGGAUUUGGGCCGGGAUUUGGGGUCAGGAUUUGGGAUUUGGGUUCGGGGCUGGGAUUUGGGAUUUGGGUUCGGGGCUGGGAUUUGGGAUUUAGGUUUGGGGUUGGUGUUAAGUUUUGGGAUUGGGGUCGGGGCGUUGUUCAGACUCCGAUGCACGGAGUAAUGGGGUGUAGGAAUUGUGGGGCGCGGAGCCUUGGGGUGUUCAGAUCUCAAUGUAUGGUAGAGUAGAACGUAGAAGUUUUGGGGUGGCAGAGUUUUGGGGUGUAGGGCUUUUGGGGUUUGGGAGUUUUGGGGUGUAGGACUUUUGGGGUAUCAGGGUUUUGGGGUGUCAGAGUGUUUGGGUGUAGGGCUUUUGGGGUUUGGAAGUUUUGGGUUGUAGGGCUUUUGGGGUAUCAGGGUUUUGGGGUGCCAGAGUGUUUGGGUGUAGGGGCUUUGGGGUUUGGGAGUUUUGGGGUGUAGGACUUUUGGGGUAUCAG